RNAcentral lists this long non-coding RNA (2365 nucleotides) under Octopus vulgaris (common octopus). The record is from RNAcentral. Lineage: Eukaryota; Metazoa; Mollusca; Cephalopoda; Octopoda; Octopodidae.
CGGUGCUCCAGCAUGGCCACAGUCAAAUGAAACAAGUAAAAGAGUAAAGAGUAAAGAUCUUCACUGCAGACUAGUUAUAAAAGCUGGUCCGCAGAGAAAGGAUUUCCGGUUUGGCAGAAAAAUAAAACCAGAACUUGGCUGACUGAUUCGCUUCCUCUCAACACACAUUCGUUUGGAGUUAUUUUUAUGUAUAGUUAUAAGUGGUGACCCCGAAAUAGAAAAUACAGAAUCAUGACAAGCGAGAACGUCUUUGCACUGAAGCUGCCACGAUUCUGGCCAAAGGUGGGCGAGGUCUGGUUCGCAAAAGCUGAAACGUAUUUCAACAUGAAGAAGAUCACUUCGAGCCUGACAAAACAUUCCUACGCAACAGUAAUCCUGAAUGAGGAUAGAGCAACGAGGAUGCUAGACAUCCUAACUAGACCACCGGCUACAAAUAGACUCCGUGAAACAUCCCGGCUUCUGAACCAAUGGACAGGAAUCUGGCAUUAGUGCCCGUUGGUGAGUCGCAUUUUUAUUUUGCUUCGAGAUUACGGACAGUUCGCGAAAACGGAUGAUAAACUUUAAAAUGCAUUGUAUAGUCCCUCCUUUUCUCCUAUUUAGUGGUAAAAAGAAGAAAAAAAAACAUUCCACAACAAGCGUAGGAGUGGCUGUGUUGUAAGUAGCUUGCUUACGAACCACAUGGUUCCGGGUUCAGUCGCACUGCGUGGCACCAUGAGCAGAUGUCCUCAACUAUAGCCUAGGACCGACCAAAGCCUUGUGAGUGGAUUUGGUAGACGGAAACUGAAAGAAGCCCGUUGUAUAUAUGUGUGUGUGUUAUAGAGAGCGAGGCCAAACUUUAACAGCCGCCAAUGGCUUCACAAUCAGUGUACGAACGCCUCAUUGUCUCUCUUCACAUCAGCUCACAAGCAUAUUCAUGAGCAUGCACCGUCGCCGAUGUCCAUCAACCUAUUAUCGAAGCUGACGAGCUGGCAGAAUCGUUAGCACGCCGGGCGAAAUGCGUAGCCGUAUUUCGUCUGCGUUUCUGAGUUCAAAUUCCACCGAGGUCGACUUUGCCUUUCAUCCUUUCGGGGUCGAUAAAUUAAGUACCAGUUACGCACUGGGGUCGAUGUAAUUGACUUAAUCCGUUUGUCUGUCCUUGUUUGUCCCCUCUGUCUUUAGCCCCUUGUGGGUAGUAAAGAAAUAUAUUAUCGAAGCUGACUUCAAACCCACUCAUUUCUAGUCGAUCUUCAAGGGGACUAGUUAUCGAGCUGGUUCGCAGAGAACGGACUUCUGGUCCGGUGGAGAAUGCGACCCGAGCUUAAGUGGCUGAUCGUACUCUCUCUCACGUUGUAGAUGAAGUACCGAUCUUGUUAGCUUGUGUAAUUGUACCACCAAACAGUAGUAAAAUAAACUUCAGUCAACCCUGAUUCCUUUAACCUGGAAUUUCCUGUAUAUAUUUUACCGGACAAAGGAAAUCUGGCCGAUCUUAGCCCUGAAGUUUAGAUUCUCUGUUAAAUUGCUUCUGGUCCCACCCCACCUCUUGUACAUCCCUAAUUUCUAUACAGCACACUUUAGGAAAUUUCUACCUACUUCUUUUCUGUGUUCUAAGUAUGGCCAUUUCAUUUAUGGUAAAAAGAUCCCAUUUUCUUUGCUAAGCGUUCUCAAGGCCAGCUUUGACUUCUAUUUUUGAGAUUUCUUCAUGAUUUUCAAAACAGAUUUAAAAGUAAAGCACAUUAGUUCACAGUAAAUGUUUAUUUCUGCAGUUCUUGUUGGUAUUAGAAUGCACCCCUCUGUGUCUUAUACUGUUUCUUUGUUAUUUCAGAAAAUCGAAGAAUAUUGGACUAAAAUAAUCGCUCACAUCAGAUGCAACAGCAAUAUUUACCAUCUCUUAAAGACUGAUGAAAGAGAUACAGAUGAGACACAACUUCACUUUAAUAAAUCUAUGGAAGAAUUACUCAGAAAUAUUUUCACUCGGUGGAUUUAUUAGCAUCGUUUUUUUUUUUGCUGUAUAGAAUGAAUGUGUAUAUAAGUUGAUUUUUGGCAUUCUAAUUAAAGCUGGAAAAUUUCUCAAAUGUGUUAACAUCUUUAUGUAUCAACAGCAAUAGAAGAAUUUCUUAUGGGUAGAAUAUAUAAAAAUGAAAAAAUGAGACAUGGUAUAUCGUGGUGAGAGAAGAAAUAAUCUGGAGAAUGAAUUAUGUGCCUCCGUGCUGGUGGCACGUAAAAAGCACCAACUGAUCGUGGUUGUUGCCAGCCUCACCUGGCAUGUAAAAAGCACCCACUACACUCACAGAGUGGUUGGCGUUAGGAAGGGCAUCCAGCUGUAGAAACACUGCCAGAUCAGACUGGGCCUGGUACAGCCUCCUGGCUUCUCAGACCCCUGUUGAAC